UCAUCCGAACCCUUCGGGGGGACGUUGAUGGAAUGAGCGGCGGACGGGUGAGUAACACGUAAAGAACCUGCCCUCAGGUCUGGGAUAACCACGAGAAAUCGGGGCUAAUACCGGAUGGGUCAUCGGACCGCAUGGUCCGAGGAUGAAAGGCGCUUCGGCGUCGCCUGGGGAUGGCUUUGCGGUGCAUUAGCUAGUUGGUGGGGUAAUGGCCCACCAAGGCGACGAUGCAUAGCCGACCUGAGAGGGUGAUCGGCCACACUGGGACUGAGACACGGCCCAGACUCCUACGGGAGGCAGCAGUAGGGAAUCUUCCACAAUGGACGAAAGUCUGAUGGAGCAACGCCGCGUGAACGAUGAAGGCCUUCGGGUCGUAAGUUCUGUUGUAAGGGAAGAACAAGUGCCGCAGGCAAUGGCGGCACCUUGACGGUACCUUGCGAGAAAGCCACGGCUAACUACGUGCCAGCAGCCGCG
RNAcentral lists this ribosomal RNA (471 nucleotides) under Exiguobacterium alkaliphilum. Its description in RNAcentral is "bacterial SSU rRNA". It matches the Rfam family "Bacterial small subunit ribosomal RNA", at positions 62 to 519 of the family's 1533-position model. Lineage: Bacteria; Bacillati; Bacillota; Bacilli; Caryophanales. The record is from RNAcentral.